RNAcentral lists this ribosomal RNA (221 nucleotides) under uncultured bacterium. Its description in RNAcentral is "partial 16S ribosomal RNA". It matches the Rfam family "Bacterial small subunit ribosomal RNA", at positions 116 to 334 of the family's 1533-position model. The record is from RNAcentral.
CGGUGAGGAACCUGCCUUGGAGAGGGGAAUAACACUCCGAAAGGGAGUGCUAAUACCGCAUGAUGCAGUUGGGUCGCAUGGCUCUGACUGCCAAAGAUUUAUCGCUCUGAGAUGGCCUCGCGUCUGAUUAGCUAGUAGGCGGGGUAACGGCCCACCUAGGCGACGAUCAGUAGCCGGACUGAGAGGUUGACCGGCCACAUUGGGACUGAGACACGGCCCAG